RNAcentral lists this ribosomal RNA (325 nucleotides) under uncultured bacterium. Its description in RNAcentral is "bacterial SSU rRNA". It matches the Rfam family "Bacterial small subunit ribosomal RNA", at positions 28 to 339 of the family's 1533-position model. The record is from RNAcentral.
GACUAACGCUGGCGGCAUGCAUCAUACAUGCAAGUCGAACGGAGAGAAUUGGGCAACUGAUUCUCUGAGUGGCGCACGGGUGAGUAACACGUAGGUAACCUACCCAGGAGAUCGGGAUAACAGCUCGAAAGGGUUGCUAAUACUGGAUGAGCCCACGGGUCGAGAGAUCUGAGGGAAAAUGAUGGCCUCUGUUUACAUGCUAUCGUCUGGAUGGGCCUGCGGACUAUCAGCUAGUUGGUGGGGUAACGGCCUACCAAGGCGAUGACGGUUAGCCGGCUUGAGAGAGUGUACGGCCACACUGGAACUGAGACACGGUCCAGACUCC